CAGUCGCCGCGGUAAUACGUAGGGUGCAAGCGUUAAUCGGAAUUACUGGGCGUAAAGCGUGCGCAGGCGGUUAUAUAAGACAGAUGUGAAAUCCCCGGGCUCAACCUGGGAACUGCAUUUGUGACUGUAUAGCUAGAGUACGGCAGAGGGGGAUGGAAUUCCGCGUGUAGCAGUGAAAUGCGUAGAUAUGCGGAGGAACACCGAUGGCGAAGGCAAUCCCCUGGGCCUGUACUGACGCUCAUGCACGAAAGCGUGGGGAGCAAACAGGAUUAGAUACCCCUGUAGUCCCUGUCUCUUAUAA
RNAcentral lists this ribosomal RNA (301 nucleotides) under uncultured bacterium. RNAcentral's name for it is "partial 16S ribosomal RNA". It matches the Rfam family "Bacterial small subunit ribosomal RNA", at positions 509 to 809 of the family's 1533-position model. The record is from RNAcentral.